RNAcentral lists this ribosomal RNA (240 nucleotides) under uncultured Lactobacillus sp. Its description in RNAcentral is "partial 16S ribosomal RNA". It matches the Rfam family "Bacterial small subunit ribosomal RNA", at positions 123 to 354 of the family's 1533-position model. The record is from RNAcentral. Lineage: Bacteria; Bacillati; Bacillota; Bacilli; Lactobacillales; Lactobacillaceae.
AACCUGCCCAAGAGAUCGGGAUAACACCUGGAAACAGAUGCUAAUACCGGAUAACAACAGAUGAUGCCUAUCAACUGUUUAAAAGAUGGUUCUGCUAUCACUCUUGGAUGGACCUGCGGUGCAUUAGCUAGUUGGUAGGGUAACGGCCUACCAAGGCGAUGAUGCAUAGCCGAGUUGAGAGACUGAUCGGCCACAUUGGGACUGAGACACGGACCCAAACUCCUACGGGAGGCAGCAGGG